This 253-nucleotide ribosomal RNA is filed under the name uncultured bacterium. RNAcentral describes it as "partial 16S ribosomal RNA". It matches the Rfam family "Bacterial small subunit ribosomal RNA", at positions 524 to 776 of the family's 1533-position model. The record is from RNAcentral.
UACGGAGGGUGCAAGCGUUGUCCGGAUUUAUUGGGUUUAAAGGGUGCGUAGGCGGCUUUUUAAGUCAGUGGUGAAAUCCUCCAGCUUAACUGGAGUCGUGCCAUUGAUACUGGGAAGCUUGAGUACAGGCGAGGUUGGCGGAAUUGAAGGUGUAGCGGUGAAAUGCAUAGAUAUCUUCAAGAACACCGAUUGCGAAGGCAGCUAACUAGACUGUAACUGACGCUGAGGCACGAAAGUGUGGGGAUCGAACAGG